RNAcentral lists this ribosomal RNA (534 nucleotides) under Triticum aestivum (bread wheat). Its description in RNAcentral is "partial small subunit ribosomal RNA". Lineage: Eukaryota; Viridiplantae; Streptophyta; Magnoliopsida; Poales; Poaceae. The record is from RNAcentral.
AUGACUAGAAUAUAUGGCGAACCAAGUUGGGACCAUAAGGAAAGAACCUAUCGGAAUUUGAGGGACUUGCAUGCUCAGUCCAGCUUGCCGUGGGUUGUGUUAGGAGAUUUUAACGAGAUUUUAUACUCAUCGGAGAAGGAAGGGGGCGCUCCCCGUCAUCAAUCUCGACUUCAGGCAUUUCAAGAUGCCCUAUUGGACUGUAGGCUGGAAGACAUAGGGUACAAUGGCGACAAGUUUACAUGGUUCCGCGACGGUUUGCGAGAGAGACUUGAUCGGGCUGUUACCAAUGCAGAAUGGCUACUCCUUCACCCGCUUGCUGGUCUGAGUAACUUAGACAUGGCAAGUCCGAUCACCGUCCAGUUUUUCUUGAUACAGAAUAUCUGGCUGGUGUGGCAGAAGCUCGACCAAAGAAGGAACAGAAAUUUGAAGUACGAUGGUUAUCAGAGGAGUCGGUCAAUGAAAUUGUCAAUACGGCUUGGCAGAAGGCAUCACAUCGUGGUCUUUGUCCUACUGCCAUGGAUAAGAUCAAUGUGA